GACGAACCGUGCGAACGUUAUUCGGAAUCACUGGGCUUAAAGGGCGCGUAGGCGGGCCUGAAAGUCAGGGGUGAAAGCCCCCAGCUUAACUGGGGAAGUGCCUCUGAUACUUCAGGCCUCGAGGGAGGUAGGGGCGUGCGGAACUUCCGGUGGAGCGGUGAAAUGCGUAGAUAUCGGGAGGAACAUCAGUUGCGAAGGCGGCUCUCUGGACCAGCACUGACACUGAGGCACGAAAGCGUGGGGAGCAAACAGG
RNAcentral lists this ribosomal RNA (253 nucleotides) under uncultured bacterium. RNAcentral describes it as "partial 16S ribosomal RNA". It matches the Rfam family "Bacterial small subunit ribosomal RNA", at positions 524 to 776 of the family's 1533-position model. The record is from RNAcentral.